AACGCAUAUUGCACUUUCUGGUAUUCCGGAAAGUAUGCCUGUUUGAGGGUCAGUUAAAUAAAAAUCGGUGUUGUUGCUGCCUUUCGUGGUGACGCGUCGGAAUUGAGUUGUCUUACCUUCGGUUAAGUGACUUAAAAUUUUGUAUGAUUUUUGAACGUAUUUAAAUUUAUUUGUACGUUUGAGAUAUCGAAUAUUUAUUAGGUUCGGUCAUUCUAACGACUCGUGCCUAUAAUUUUUCAUUAAAUGACCUCAAAUCAGGUAAGAAUACCCGCUGAACUUAA
RNAcentral lists this unclassified non-coding RNA (281 nucleotides) under uncultured Glomeraceae. RNAcentral's name for it is "sequence contains ITS2". The stretch from base 1 to 52 matches the Rfam family "5.8S ribosomal RNA", at positions 103 to 154 of the family's 154-position model. The record is from RNAcentral. Lineage: Eukaryota; Fungi; Glomeromycota; Glomeromycetes; Glomerales; Glomeraceae.